GAUGAAGAACGUAGCGAAAUGCGAUAAGUAAUGUGAAUUGCAGAAUUCAGUGAAUCAUCAAAUCUUUGAACGCACAUUGCGCCCGCCAGUAUUCUGGCGGGCAUGCCUGUUCGAGCGUCAUUUCAACCAUCAAGCCCCAGGCUUGUGUUGGGGACCUGCGGCUGCCGCAGGCCCUGAAAACCAGUGGCGGGCUCGCUGUCACACCGGGCGUAGUAGAUUUUAUCUCGCUCAGGGCGUGCUGCGGGUUCCGGCCGUUAAAAAGCCUUUUUUACCCAAGGUUGACCUCGGAUCAGGUAGGAAGACCCGCUGAACUUAAGCAUAUCAAUAAGCGGAGGA
This 336-nucleotide unclassified non-coding RNA is filed under the name soil metagenome. RNAcentral's name for it is "partial contains 5.8S ribosomal RNA, internal transcribed spacer 2, and large subunit ribosomal RNA". The stretch from base 1 to 120 matches the Rfam family "5.8S ribosomal RNA", at positions 35 to 154 of the family's 154-position model. The record is from RNAcentral.